ACUUAUGUGCAGUGGCAAUGUCAUAACCAAUGACGGUCUCCUGAGUUGUGAUUAGUACUAGUUGAAAGCUUUAACCAAUACCCAGCUACGAUGAAAUGAAACAUUUUUUGUUGUCGGCAAUUGUUGACAGCUCCAGCAGAAG
This is a small nuclear RNA of Daphnia magna, 142 nucleotides long. It matches the Rfam family "U4 spliceosomal RNA". From Rfam's summary of the family: U4 small nuclear RNA (U4 snRNA) is a component of the major U2-dependent spliceosome. The structure of U4 snRNA from yeast and human has been reported. The record is from Rfam. Lineage: Eukaryota; Metazoa; Arthropoda; Branchiopoda; Diplostraca; Daphniidae.